GGUCUUAUAUUCAUAUUUGUGAUGAUAGAAUGCAAUUCUAUAGGGGUGGGUUUAUACUACUAAGGCUU
Molecule: transfer RNA, 68 nt
Filed under: Porotermes planiceps
Lineage: Eukaryota; Metazoa; Arthropoda; Insecta; Blattodea; Termopsidae
Description: tRNA-Cys
Source: RNAcentral